UAGGGAAUAUUCGGCAAUGGACGGAAGACUGACCGAGCAACGCCGCGAGAGUGAAGAAGGUUUGCGGAUCGUAAAGAUCUGUUGUUAGAGAAGAACGCUGGUAGGAGUGGAAAAUCUACCAAGUGACGGUAACUAACCAGAAAGGGACGGCUAACUACGUGCCAGCAGCCGCGGUAAUACGUAGGUCCCGAGCGUUGUCCGGAUUUAUUGGGCGUAAAGCGAGCGCAGGCGGUUCUUUAAGUCUGAAGGUAAAGGCAGUGGCUUAACCAUUGUACGCUUUGGAAACUGGAGGGCUUGGGUGGAGGAGGGGAGAGUGGAAUUCCAUGUGUAGCGGUGAAAUGCGUAGAUAUAUGGAGGAACACCGGUGGCGAAAGCGGCUCUCUGGUCUGUAACUGACGCUGAGGCUCGAAAGCGUGGGGAGCAAACAGG
RNAcentral lists this ribosomal RNA (429 nucleotides) under Bacillota bacterium. Its description in RNAcentral is "Firmicutes bacterium partial 16S ribosomal RNA". It matches the Rfam family "Bacterial small subunit ribosomal RNA", at positions 355 to 776 of the family's 1533-position model. The record is from RNAcentral. Lineage: Bacteria; Bacillati; Bacillota.